CCUACGGGGGGCAGCAGUGGGGAAUCUUCCGCAAUGGACGAAAGUCUGACGGAGCAACGCCGCGUGAGUGAUGACGGCCUUCGGGUUGUAAAGCUCUGUUAAUCGGGACGAAUGGCUACCAUGCGAAUAGUUUGGGAGUUUGACGGUACCGGAAUAGAAAGCCACGGCUAACUACGUGCCAGCAGCCGCGGUAAUACGUAGGUGGCAAGCGUUGUCCGGAAUUAUUGGGCGUAAAGCGCGCGCAGGCGGAUCUGCCAGUCUGUCUUAAAAGUUCGGGGCUCAACCCCGUGAUGGGAUGGAAACUACAGAUCUAGAGUAUCGGAGGGGAAAGUGGAAUUCCUAGUGUAGCGGUGAAAUGCGUAGAUAUUAGGAGGAACACCAGUGGCGAAGGCGACUUUCUGGACGAUCACUGACGCUGAGGCGCGAAAGCCAGGGGAGCGAACGGGAUUAGAUACCCCAGUAGUC
This 465-nucleotide ribosomal RNA is filed under the name uncultured Veillonella sp. RNAcentral describes it as "bacterial SSU rRNA". It matches the Rfam family "Bacterial small subunit ribosomal RNA", at positions 338 to 795 of the family's 1533-position model. Lineage: Bacteria; Bacillati; Bacillota; Negativicutes; Veillonellales; Veillonellaceae. The record is from RNAcentral.